This 316-nucleotide unclassified non-coding RNA is filed under the name fungal sp. RNAcentral's name for it is "partial internal transcribed spacer region". The stretch from base 1 to 46 matches the Rfam family "Eukaryotic small subunit ribosomal RNA", at positions 1786 to 1831 of the family's 1831-position model. The record is from RNAcentral. Lineage: Eukaryota; Fungi.
AAGUCGUAACAAGGUAUCCGUAGGUGAACCUGCGGAUGGAUCAUUACCAAUUUCUAUAUUAUAAAACUACCCAGGCCCCGCAAAGGGUUUGGGUAACUUUUAUAAAUGUAAAUUGUUGAACCUGUUAUAUUAUUCUGUGUGGUUCAGUUUUGUUACUUGGCCACCAGCAUUUAUAAAAUCUAAAACAUUUUAUAUUAACUACUAUUAAUAACUAUAUUUAUAUAAUACUUUUUAAAGCUCAGGUGGGUAAAACCCUUGUGCUAUAAAAAACAACUAAUAUAAAAAACAACUUUCAACAAUGGAUCUCUAGGCUCUC